Molecule: non-coding RNA, 1475 nt
Organism: Heterocephalus glaber (naked mole-rat)
Lineage: Eukaryota; Metazoa; Chordata; Mammalia; Rodentia; Bathyergidae
Source: RefSeq, a predicted model, not a curated record
GUGUGCUGUGACUUUAAGAGUGCUGUAACCUAAGUAUAAUACAAUCAUAAGAGUGAUGUGUAACCAUAAGAUAUGAAAGUAAUGAAAGUAGAACCUUAAGUGGUAGGGAACUGAUAAGGGUGUAGCCUGAACUGGGCGGGGCGUACCCCGACUUGGGCAGAGUGUGCCCCAAGCUGGACAGUGUGAUAAGUCUGAACCAAUACCACGAACGCCCAGCUAGAAUAGUAUAAAAGGAGCUGAAGAGCCCAAGCAAGUCGACGAUCUGUCCCACCGACCAGUCGACCAGUCCAUCUGAUGAUCUGACUACCGACCGAGACAUCUGCACACCUGAUCCCGCUGGGAGGAGCAUCGCCGCUGACCAGAGGAGACCAGAGGAGGCAAGCGGAGAGGCGGAUAGCCUAGCGCCGACUCGACGCCCUUCAUCUACGGAUCGGACCCUCUGACCCUGCGGGAGGAAACGUCGCGCUCCCAUUAAGGACUUGCGCAGUACAGAGACUUGAGAUUUAACCGAAUAAGAGAAAUUCCAGAGAAUGCCUUCAAGAAACUGAAGAAUUUGAACACUCUUCUCCUGAACAACAAUCAAAUCAGGAAGAUUUCCAGGACUGCUUUUGAAGGACUUGAAAAUUUACUCUAUCUGUAAGUUGUAAGGCUGCAUAAGACCAUGUUCUAGUCAAGCACAUCUGCCUCUUGCCCACUCACCAUGGUACCUGAACAAGAAUGAAAUUCAUGCACUAGAUAAGCAAACUUUUAAGGGACUCAUAUCCUUGGAACAGCUGUCUACUCUGUCUGAAGAAUUGGUGUCGUUGGACAAGAAGAUCUUCCAUAGAGAUAAGAGGGUCCUUUGCAGCUAAUUCUAUCCUCAGUCUAGUUUUUACUGGGAUAUUGAAUGAAUCAUGUAGCACUUUCCUAAUUCUUCAAUAAAAGGUUAUUUAAAGCACAUUUCUCUACCAGUGAAUCCCCUAUUGUUGUCAUCUUUUGCAAUAUGGAUAGGGUGACAAUCUUUGAAAUCAAAUGUAGAUUCCUUUUGCUUAAUAGUCUGUCCUCAGUUUACCUCUGUUUGCCCACAUUUUUGCUAGAAGAAACCAGGCUACCCUUUAUUUUUUUAUUUUUUAUUUUUAUUUUUUGGUACCGGAGAUAGAACUCGUGACCUUGUGCUUUCGAGGCUGGCGCCGGAACCACUGAGCUAAAUCCCCGGCCCAGGCUACCCUUUAAACACAUUACUUAUUCUUCUCAUCUACAUCUGUUGCCCAACACCAAAGCACUUCUACAAUUUUAGAUAUUUCUCAUUUCAGCACUUCACUUCUCAACACAAAAAAAACCACAUUUUGGCUUCUGGGAGUUCAGGAGCCAUACAGCCUCUCCUCAUUUUGUCUUGUCUGUUGCUCUUUUAACACAGAGAAUUAUUCGGCAUUACUAGACUGAAGCCGAUCUAAUAAGAAAAAAACACAGAGGUCGUGGAAGUACUAUCUAGAAUC